Molecule: long non-coding RNA, 881 nt
Filed under: Carassius auratus (goldfish)
Lineage: Eukaryota; Metazoa; Chordata; Actinopteri; Cypriniformes; Cyprinidae
Description: lncRNA (ENSCARG00000041663.1)
Source: RNAcentral
CUAAGGAUAUCCUGGACCCCUCGCUCAUUGAUGAUUUCCUCUGGUCUCGCCAGCAUUUCCCCGCUGGAGCGCCAGGAGGCACUCUUUGAGGGGAGGGUACUGUCAUGGUCUUGUCAUGAUCCUGUCUCUAUCUCUCUCUUUCUCUCUCUCUGUCUCCCCCUGCUGGUUUCUCCCCUCCCGUCUCCCUCGCUCUUCGUUUCUGUGUCACAGCUGUCUUCACUUCUUAUUAAGAUAAUUUCCCCUCCACCUGUUUCUCAUCCUGCCUCAUUAUUAUGGCUACUUCUACCCUCUCGUUCUCUUGUCUCUUUGUCAGAUUGUUGUCUCCGAAUGAAGCAUUUGUCAUUGGCGUCUUCACAUCCAGUUGGUCUUGUCCUGUCUUGUCCUGUCUCGUCGGGGUUUGGUUAGUUGACCACAAUCACUGCCGGAAUUACUCUGUGCUCACCAUUUACACCCCACAGAACCUUACCUGCUGUCUAACACCGCGGCUUCCCCGCUCUGCAAGCUCCGGUCUCCAGUUCUCCCCUGAGCCCAGUCAAGCCUCCGCCUCGCCAGCCUGCUGGUCGUUCCUGCCACAGAGGUCUGCUGAGUUAAUUGUACUACCCAGCCUACGGGUCAGAACCACCCGGACAGAAACAACUGCGUGUCAAAUGGUGCCCGGACACCGGAUCCUCUUCUUUGUAUAAGACUGUAAAGGGGUGCAAGCAAGGUAAUGAUGCCUCAGAUUUUAAAUUGAAAGGCAUUUAUAGAAUAUCAUAAUGGGUACAGGAACUAUGAAAGCAUCUCAUCUUAAUUGUCAAGAAUAUAAAAUAGGAUAUUUUGAACAAUCGCAUUUAUUCAUUUAACAGACCUUUUCAAUGUUUCAAUGUUUCAGCUGUUUUUGU